RNAcentral lists this unclassified non-coding RNA (300 nucleotides) under uncultured Clavicipitaceae. RNAcentral describes it as "sequence contains 5.8S rRNA gene, ITS2". The stretch from base 1 to 71 matches the Rfam family "5.8S ribosomal RNA", at positions 84 to 154 of the family's 154-position model. Lineage: Eukaryota; Fungi; Ascomycota; Sordariomycetes; Hypocreales; Clavicipitaceae. The record is from RNAcentral.
GUGAAUCAUCGAAUCUUUGAACGCACAUUGCGCCCGCCAGUAUUCUGGCGGGCAUGCCUGUUCGAGCGUCAUUUCAACCCUCAGGCCCCUCCGGGCGGCCUGGUGUUGGGGACCGGCGGACGGGGGAAGGGAUCACUCUCUCCCCCCAAGGCCCGCCGCCCCCGAAAUGAAUUGGCGGUCUCGUCGCGGCCUCCUCUGCGUAGUAGCACAACCUCGCAACAGGAGCGCGGCGCGGCCACUGCCGUAAAACGCACCAACUUUUUCAAGAGUUGACCUCGAAUCAGGUAGGAAUACCCGCUG